Camellia sinensis is the source of this 1543-nucleotide non-coding RNA. NCBI's taxonomy places the organism in Eukaryota, Viridiplantae, Streptophyta, Magnoliopsida, Ericales, Theaceae. The record is from RefSeq and is a predicted model, not a curated record.
UUAGGUUGCUAAUUGGUGGGUAUAGUGGUUUUGGUAUAAAAGGCAGGGCAGGAGUGAGUUCUUAGAUCGCUCAAGCAAAAAUGAUGUGAAUUAAUAUUUGGUGUUGUGAGCCCCACGAGCAUCAUUAGAGCAAUAUUCAAAGCUGAAGAAGAAAGAUGUGAAGUGAUUGAUGCCCUCCCUAUUCAUGAAAACAAUAUGUUACAACAUGUUGCAAACUUGUUGUGAGGUGUGUAAUUGGCUCUUCGCAUUUAUUAUGUAAAUGUUGGUAAUUAUGUCUUCUCUGCAUGUAUGUAUGUUAGUAAUUAUACAAGCGUGUUCAAUUGUUUUUGAAUCUGAAUCAAAUCUUUUCAGCUGAAUGAGUCGGCUAGGAUAGACUUGGAUAUGGCGAAGGUUCUAUAUACUUGAGUGAUAAAUUUUUGUUAAGGCACACAAUUGAGAUGAGUUGGUCAUAUUUAAUUGUUUACGCCACAGAUGAGGAGUUCUAAGGAACAUCCUGUUUACAAUUUAAUCUCUUGUUGGUUAACUGUAUAUAUGGAAUUUUCUCAUGUUUUGUAGCGCAGGUUUGACAGAUUUCAAAUCCAUCAUGUUCUUUUUAAGAGGUUUGAAGAGGUUUGACAAAUUGAUUGUAUAUAUGGAGUUCUUUUGGGUUUUUUCUUAAGCUUAUGAGUUAAGGUGGUAUCUUCAAAUUGAAAUCCAAAACCCACAUGGGAAUCUCUGAUUGGUGGAUUGGGAAUUUGAUCUUUUAUUCGAUACUGAGCUCUUGAGGAAUUGAUGAUGACUGCAGUAUGCUGAAUUUGCAUUCUGACAAGUGACAACACUGGUCAAGGAAUUGAUCGCUUUUGGUUCUGACUUCGGGUUGUCUUGUUUAGGAUCAUUACUUUGCAUGAACAGAAUUGGUAGAAAUUUUAAUUAGCAUAGAAUAGAUAACAGUGCCUAGAGGCUGAAAUACUAGUACUUUACUACUUUAGUGUGAUUUCGCCGUGAUGAGGAGUGGAGUGAGUUGUUCAUUAUAAUUAUCAUUUUUAGUAUUAUCUUCAGAGGGCAUAAAUUGCCUAUCUUACCAGUGUUUAAACCAUCAUGUUUGUUUCUUGAAAUCUAGAAUUUGAAAAGCUAUAUAGGGGAAUUAGACAAGUGCUAAAUGCAUAUAUCUUGCCACAAUUAUCUAUAUACAUGUUUGAUGGUCUAUAUUUUCAUGUAUGCUUGUAUCAACCAAUACAAAGGUUCACUAAGCAAUUAUGCUUGUAGACACUUGUUAUGAUUGAGGUUGAAUUCUUUUAAAUUUUGAAAUUGGGUUGAUUAUGUAGUGAUAUGGUAAAUGUAGAGUAAAACUAGGAAAGAAGGCUUGAAGCUAAAAACAGAGUUCAAUGCUCAAUUCUUGGAAGAAUGAAACAAAUUGAGUGUCUUAUCAUUCCUAAGAUUAGUGUCAUCUUUCCAGGUAUCAAUUGUCACUCAUUCUUAUUGCUAUAGCCUAUAUGUUGAUAUUAUAAACAUGAUUCUAAAAUGUGUACUGAAUUAAAUUUCAAAUUCACAUGAAACUAACAAA